AGUGAACGCUGGCGGUAGGCCUAACACAUGCAAGUCGAACGGCAGCACAGUAAGAGCUUGCUCUUACGGGUGGCGAGUGGCGGACGGGUGAGGAAUACAUCGGAAUCUACUUUUUCGUGGGGGAUAACGUAGGGAAACUUACGCUAAUACCGCAUACGACCUACGGGUGAGAGCAGGGGAUCUUCGGACCUUGCGCGAUUGAAUGAGCCGAUGUCGGAUUAGCUAGUUGGCGGGGUAAAGGCCCACCAAGGCGACGAUCCGUAGCUGGUCUGAGAGGAUGAUCAGCCACACUGGAACUGAGACACGGUCCAGACUCCUACGGGAGGCAGCAGUGGGGAAUAUUGGACAAUGGGCGCAAGCCUGAUCCAGCCAUGCCGCGUGGGUGAAGAAGGCCUUCGGGUUGUAAAGCCCUUUUGUUGGGAAAGAAAAGCAGCAGGUUAAUACCCCGCUGUUCUGACGGUACCCAAAGAAUAAGCACCGGCUAACUUCGUG
RNAcentral lists this ribosomal RNA (492 nucleotides) under uncultured bacterium. Its description in RNAcentral is "partial 16S ribosomal RNA". It matches the Rfam family "Bacterial small subunit ribosomal RNA", at positions 29 to 507 of the family's 1533-position model. The record is from RNAcentral.